This is a non-coding RNA of Biomphalaria pfeifferi, 384 nucleotides long. NCBI's taxonomy places the organism in Eukaryota, Metazoa, Mollusca, Gastropoda, Planorbidae. The record is from the annotation of a GenBank genome assembly.
AUAAGUUUUGUUCUAGUCUUAUUUAUUGACAAAGACUUUCUCUUCUUAUAGUGUUAAAACAGCUAGAAUAAUCAAAGUGCACAAACAUUCUUAAUAAAUAAGGAAAUACAGGGAAAAAAGUACAAUACCAGUAAACUUCUAUAAACAAGGUUCAUAUUGCACAUUAAAUAAACAAAUAGAAGUAUAAAUAAAUAAAUAGAAGUAUACUGGGUAUGAUUAUAGAAUUCCUGUCAACAAAUUCUGCUUUCCAAGUUCUGUUAAGAAUUAUCUCUAAAAAUGUGAGAUCAUUAUUGGUUUAGCCAAAUGGACACAUGAUGAAUUAGUCAGUCUUCUGACCUCUGAUCCAAAAAUAAUGUUAAAUAUAGAAAAAAAAAAAAAAAAAAA